UACAGAGGUCUCAAGCGUUGUUCGGAUUCAUUGGGCGUAAAGGGUGCGUAGGUGGCGCGCUAAGUCAGGUGUGAAAUUUCGGAGCUUAACUCCGAAACUGCAUUUGAUACUGGCGUGCUUGAGGACUGGAGAGGAGACUGGAAUUCACGGUGUAGCAGUGAAAUGCGUAGAGAUCGUGAGGAAGACCAGUGGCGAAGGCGAAUCUCUGGACAGUUACUGACACUGAGGCACGAAGGCCAGGGGAGCAAACGGG
RNAcentral lists this ribosomal RNA (253 nucleotides) under uncultured bacterium. RNAcentral's name for it is "partial 16S ribosomal RNA". It matches the Rfam family "Bacterial small subunit ribosomal RNA", at positions 524 to 776 of the family's 1533-position model. The record is from RNAcentral.